This 71-nucleotide transfer RNA is filed under the name Cordylochernes scorpioides. RNAcentral's name for it is "tRNA-Gly". It matches the Rfam family "tRNA". Rfam says of the family: Transfer RNA (tRNA) molecules are approximately 80 nucleotides in length. Their secondary structure includes four short double-helical elements and three loops (D, anti-codon, and T loops). The record is from RNAcentral. Lineage: Eukaryota; Metazoa; Arthropoda; Arachnida; Pseudoscorpiones; Chernetidae.
GCAUCGGUGGUUUAGUGGUAGAAUGCUCGCCUGCCACGCGGGCGGCCAGGGUUCGAUUCCCGGCCGAUGCU